Molecule: ribosomal RNA, 332 nt
Filed under: uncultured Opitutus sp.
Lineage: Bacteria; Pseudomonadati; Verrucomicrobiota; Opitutia; Opitutales; Opitutaceae
Description: bacterial SSU rRNA
Rfam family: Bacterial small subunit ribosomal RNA
Source: RNAcentral
UGCGCAGGCGGCCAUGUGUGUGAGGCGUGAAAGCCCGAUGCUUAACAUCGGAAUUGCACCUCAAACUACAUGGCUAGAGCAUUGGAGAGGGUAGCGGAAUUCACGGUGUAGCAGUGAAAUGCGUAGAUAUCGUGAGGAACACCAGAGGCGAAGGCGGCUACCUGGACAAUUGCUGACGCUCAGGCACGAAAGCGUGGGGAGCAAAAGGGAUUAGAUACCCCUGUAGUCCACGCCCUAAACGGUGCACACUAGGUCUUGGCGGAUUCGACCCCACCAGGGCCCAAGCUAACGCGUUAAGUGUGCCGCCUGAGGACUACGGCCGCAAGGCUAAA